AAAGGGUUGAUGUUUGGUCGCUUCUUUCAGGUACAGGUUUCUCAGGAGGCCUCCUGACAGCCAGCUGAUCCCCGUGUUCCUCCAUCCUCAUGCCUCACAAAUAAGACCUCAGGGAUCUCAUUAGCAAUCCACACACAGCUCUAAUCUAAUGAUGAGCGCUGGAAAGGAGAGUAACACUGAAUAAAGAGGAGAGGAGGCUUGUUCUCGUCUGUUGCCCUGCAGUCUGACCCAGAACAAGAGAGACGGAGGAUGGGGCGUGGUCUUUUUGAAGGUACCUUCAGACCGGUUCGAGAGGUUUGGCCUAACGUGGAAUGAGCAAUCAUACCUUUACCAAGUGGAAGGAGCAGGAAGUGAUCUUCCUCAGCUAAAGCGACUCUGCGACACAAUGGCAUCUCUUGUCCAGGAAUCCAUACUGAAUGACGGCAACAGGAAUUCAUAGGGUAACUAAUAGUUUUUUUAAUUAUUUGAAUAUGUUCAACAAUUUGACUAAAUAUUU
RNAcentral lists this long non-coding RNA (496 nucleotides) under Sinocyclocheilus grahami. Its description in RNAcentral is "lncRNA (ENSSGRG00000030086.1)". Lineage: Eukaryota; Metazoa; Chordata; Actinopteri; Cypriniformes; Cyprinidae. The record is from RNAcentral.